UUUAGGGGAAUGGAGAACAGUGUUGGUUAAAGGUGGAGCUGUCACAAGGUUCUUGUAAGGUAUAAAUGGUCUUCUAGGUACAUUGAACAACAAGGACUUCAUUUGUUUAGCUAAAUUGAAAGCAUGAGUUAAUGUUUUGGGGUAGAACAUCCAGACUGUUUUGGAGAUUUCGGGUUUCAAAUUACCAGAAAAAAAAAUCCUGAGAGCAUUAUCAUCCGAAAUAGACACCAA
This 231-nucleotide long non-coding RNA is filed under the name Durio zibethinus. Its description in RNAcentral is "long non-coding RNA (DZIB_LNC001008)". The record is from RNAcentral. Lineage: Eukaryota; Viridiplantae; Streptophyta; Magnoliopsida; Malvales; Malvaceae.